GCUUCUUCCUUCCCCUUUGUCCGCCCCGACUCCCCUGAUCUCACCGUCCUCCUCUUUCAGAUCCUCCCCCUCCCCAUCCACGGUAGCCGCCACCUCCCCAUCCAUGGCCAUCUGCCCCUAUGCGUCCCGCAACCGCCGCGACGACAGCCUCGUCCCCAGAGGCGGGGACUUCCCUUAAGGCGAACCUAGUGCACGUGGCGCCGGUACCGUUGAUGCGGGUCGGGUGGCAGCCAGAUCUGCCACGGCCAGAACCGGUGUCCUCUUCCUCCCUAUCCAGCUUCCUCCCAUGGUUGAGAAGAGGGCUUCGUCAAGGAUCCCAUGAUGAAGGUCAACGUGGGAGGCUGCUUCCUUCGAUGGAGGCCAUGAGUGCCACGUGGGCACACACGUGGCUGCGCUUCAAGCUCGACAGAUGCAGGGACGCCACCAUGGAACAGUCAGGGCCUCCCUUUUCCUCCCGUUUCGUCCGAUCCUCCACUGCCAGCCAUUUCCGGCGCCCCUGCACCACGGCGGCGAAGGGCACAAUGAUGAAUUGAACGCAAGAUCCUUCUGGUGAUCCAACAGACGCAAACAUCAGAUGCCUAAGAAAAGGAUUUGCAAAUAAAAUAGGAAUCCAAACUUGCAAAAUUCUCUUUUACAGACCGCUAGUACAACUGGGACUCUAGGUACAAGGCACAAUGUAAUUGCUCCAAAUACGCUCAUACAAGUUGCAACAAUGAAUUCUCGAAUGUUUCGAGCAAUGGAUCCAAAGAUUUAGCUGGAAUGGACUCUAGACCACGGA
Molecule: long non-coding RNA, 778 nt
Organism: Triticum aestivum (bread wheat)
Lineage: Eukaryota; Viridiplantae; Streptophyta; Magnoliopsida; Poales; Poaceae
Exons: 5
Source: RefSeq, a predicted model, not a curated record